Molecule: ribosomal RNA, 460 nt
Filed under: uncultured bacterium
Lineage: Bacteria
Description: partial 16S ribosomal RNA
Rfam family: Bacterial small subunit ribosomal RNA
Source: RNAcentral
CCUACGGGUGGCUGCAGUGAGGAAUAUUGGUCAAUGGACGAGAGUCUGAACCAGCCAAGUAGCGUGUAGGAUGACUGCCCUAUGGGUUGUAAACUUCUUUUAUAUGGGAAUAAAAUGUUCCACGUGUGGGAUUUUGUAUGUACCAUAUGAAUAAGGAUCGGCUAACUCCGUGCCAGCAGCCGCGGUAAUACGGAGGAUCCGAUCGUUAUCCGGAUUUGUUGGGUUUAAAGGGAGCGUAGGUGGAUUGUUAAGUCAGUUGUGAAAGUUUGCGGCUCAACCGUAAAAUUGCAGUUGAUACUGGCAGUCUUGAGUACAGUAGAGGUGGGCGGAAUUCGUGGUGUAGCGGUGAAAUGCUUAGAGAUCACGAAGAACUCCGAUUGCGAAGGCAGUUCACUGGACUGCAACUGACACUGAGGCUCGAAAGUGUGGGUAUCAAACAGGAAUAGAUACCCCAGUAGUC